GACGAACGCUGGCGGCGUGCCUAAUACAUGCAAGUCGAACGAGAGCGACCGGUGCUUGCACUGGUCAAUCUAGUGGCGAACGGGUGAGUAACACGUGGGUAACCUGCCCAUCAGAGGGGGAUAACAUCCGGAAACGGAUGCUAAAACCGCAUAGGUCUUCGAGCCGCAUGGCUUGAAGAGGAAAAGAGGCGCAAGCUUCUGCUGAUGGAUGGACCCGCGGUGCAUUAGCUAGUUGGUGAGGUAACGGCUCACCAAGGCCGUGAUGCAUAGCCGACCUGAGAGGGUGAUCGGCCACAUUGGGACUGAGACACGGCCCAAACUCCUACGGGAGGCAGCAGUAGGGAAUCUUCCGCAAUGGACGCAAGUCUGACGGAGCAACGCCGCGUGAGUGAAGAAGGUUUUCGGAUCGUAAAACUCUGUUGUUAGAGAAGAACAAGUGCUAGAGUAACUGUUAGCGCCUUGACGGUAUCUAACCAGAAAGCCACGGCCAACUACGUG
This 498-nucleotide ribosomal RNA is filed under the name uncultured bacterium. RNAcentral's name for it is "partial 16S ribosomal RNA". It matches the Rfam family "Bacterial small subunit ribosomal RNA", at positions 28 to 507 of the family's 1533-position model. The record is from RNAcentral.